UACGUAGGGUGCGAGCGUUGUCCGGAAUUACUGGGCGUAAAGAGCUCGUAGGUGGUUUGUCGCGUUGUUCGUGAAAACCGGGGGCUUAACCCUCGGCGUGCGGGCGAUACGGGCAGACUGGAGUACUGCAGGGGAGACUGGAAUUCCUGGUGUAGCGGUGGAAUGCGCAGAUAUCAGGAGGAACACCGGUGGCGAAGGCGGAUCUCUGGGCAGUAACUGACGCUGAGGAGCGAAAGCGUGGGGAGCGAACAGG
This 253-nucleotide ribosomal RNA is filed under the name uncultured bacterium. RNAcentral describes it as "partial 16S ribosomal RNA". It matches the Rfam family "Bacterial small subunit ribosomal RNA", at positions 524 to 776 of the family's 1533-position model. The record is from RNAcentral.